AUGUGGGAGUAUGGUGUGUGUGUGUGUGAAACAAAUACACCGGCUCACGUGUGGCCUCUGGCUGGAAAGUCUAGUAAUACAUAUGUAAAGCAGAUCGUCUGUGGUGUUGAAAACCCAGUUCAAUCCACUCAGCAGCGGGCCAGAGGUCAACCCUCGCCAAUGCUCAGGAAGCUGCUGCUCCUACCGGGCACUGCACUCAAUGACCGGAGAGGGAGUAAAAUAAUAAUUUAUACAACAUUUGGCCCACUGGUGAAAGCGUGCAUAUAGGCAUGUCAGGAGGGUCUGUCUGGACCGCUGUUUCUGAAAUAUAGUAGCCACUUCACUUUUUCCCCCCAUAUACCUUCUACUGUCAGUUAAAUGCACCUUAUGCCAGAUGUAUGGCCUGUAAAAUGAAAAGUGAGCCAACUCAUGAGUGUUUUUGACCCUUUUUGUAAUCCUUUGGCAUGCAGGAACAUUUCUGUUAUGCAUGUAUGAUACUAAGCCAACUCUGUCUCCAUAUUUAUGGAGCAAACCAAUAGGAGGGCUAAAUAACGAGACAGACUUUCCAGACAGCCAUAGUCUGGGUGACAAACAGAGCAGGCCAAAGCUGGGACAUGUAACAUAUAGACCAUGUUGUUGUUUUUUUAGAAAAGGACAGGCAUAUAGUGUUUUAGACAACCUAAAUAACAGAAUCUGCAAGUGGUGAUGUGACAAGUAAUGACCUUCUAUUUGAAAUGUAGUGCAAAUGGCACAGAGAUAAACUGACUCCUACUGCGCAAUUGAUUUUAAUUACUGUAGGAAAUGACUGUGCCAUAAUGUUAUCAGACUUAAAAAGACCUUCACUGCGAAAACAACAUUAUCUCAAACUUCCAAACAAUAAUCUGCAGGUUUUAACUGUUGGUAUCUUUAUAAACAGCAAUAUCCCUAUCAAACAGAAUGUUUCUGAGAUAAGCUUGAAUAUGUUAGCCAGAAGCACACUGUAACAAUGUUUAUCAGGAAACCUAAAAAAAAAAAAAAAUGGAGAGAAGUUAAAUAGACUUAUCAAAGUCAAUAUAUUAUGUGAUAUGACAGGAAUAUUUUUAUUCAAGCUUUGGAUAAAAGGACCUGCUAAAUGAAUAAAUGUAAUUGUAGUAUCA
Cyprinus carpio (common carp) is the source of this 1115-nucleotide long non-coding RNA. The record is from Ensembl. Lineage: Eukaryota; Metazoa; Chordata; Actinopteri; Cypriniformes; Cyprinidae.